RNAcentral lists this microRNA (23 nucleotides) under Nematostella vectensis (starlet sea anemone). RNAcentral describes it as "nve-miR-2050-3p". Lineage: Eukaryota; Metazoa; Cnidaria; Anthozoa; Actiniaria; Edwardsiidae. RNAcentral also lists the same sequence under 1 other name. The record is from miRBase by way of RNAcentral.
AUUUGAUUGCUGUGAUCUGGUUU